This 398-nucleotide ribosomal RNA is filed under the name uncultured bacterium. RNAcentral describes it as "partial 16S ribosomal RNA". It matches the Rfam family "Bacterial small subunit ribosomal RNA", at positions 360 to 773 of the family's 1533-position model. The record is from RNAcentral.
AAUAUUGCGCAAGGGGGGAAACCCUGACGCAGCGACGCCGCGUGAACGAUGAAGGCCUUCGGGUCGUAUAGUUCUGUCCUCAGGGAUGAAUAAAUGACGGUAACUGAGGAGGAAGCCCCGGCUAACUACGUGUCAGCAGCCGCGGUAAUACGGAGGAUGCAAGCGUUAUUCGGAUUUAUUGGGUUUAAAGGGUACGUAGGCAGGCAUAUAAGUCAGAGGUGAAAUCCGACAGCUUAACUGUCGAACUGCCUUUAAAACUGUAUGUCUUGAGUGAGAUUGUAGCAGCUGGAAUGUGUAGUGUAGCGGUGAAAUGAAUAGAUAUUACACAGAACACCGAUAGCGUAGGCAGGUUGCUAAGUCUUUACUGACGCUGAUGGACGAAAGCGUGGGGAGCAAAC